AUUAUGCAAUACUCUGUCUCAUGACAUAUAUGGUCCUCACAGCUAAUUUGGAAAAUAUAAUAAUUAUUUAGCGACUGAAUUGGAAAUUUUGUAAUGAAAAAGAUUAUAAAUGGAUUUCAGUACCAUAUUUUAUGUACAUGUACAUGUACAAACCUCGUUAAAGCUAAAAUUAAAAAGGUCUCACUGCAUCAUGAUCAAACACAACACAUCACAAGUAAAGUUAAAAUAACCAGCUUGGAUGAUUUACAUGUGAUUCUUAACAGACAUUAAAUCCCAUGCUUCACUCAUGUGAUGUUGUAUGUGACAGUUAUGAAUCAAAUGAACAAUAUAUAUUGUGACUCUAGCUUGAUUUUACAUGUACAGUGAACUAUAAAAUUGCUACAGUGUUCUUCACUGCAUGUAACUAUCAGUACUUCUUAUCAGCACCUCAGAUAGUACAGCUGUGGAUUCACAGCCAUAGCCAGUACGAGGCCAACCAUUUGCAUUUUUAUUGUUUUUCUUUUUGAAGGAGGAAAGUGAAACACUGCUAAAAACCUAAAGGAAAAGAACUUAACCACAGACAUUGCCUUAGUCAUUACUUUUUUCCGGCUACAGCCCUGGGAUCAAUAAAAUGAGAUACAGCUCCUACUGAUACAAGUAUGUACAAUAACCAUCCAUCGCAAUUUGUGAAUUAUUACUAACAGUGUACCAAUUCCAAUGUCAGCGAUAAAAUCAAUGUCCUUGACAACGUUCACUGUUGCCUUUAACUUUUGUAAGAAAACUUAACAAUAAGAAUUAAGCACCAACUCAACUGCACUAGGUGGUGGUGAAUUCUUUAGUUCAGCGCAAUUGGGGCUUAGCCUGGGUUCUUACAUGGGGUUGUGCUCGGUUCUUUCCAUAACAAACUGAGUCAAAUUGGCACUUUAUCAGGAACACAGCUUUUUUUCUUUACAAAGCAUGUGGGCAAAAUGCUGAAAAAGAUAUCCUCCCAAGAACUCAAUGUGUGCUAUACUUUGACCAAAUAUCCUCACACAUGUGAUUCAGUCACAUGAAUGACUGUAUACAUUCUAGAUAUGGUUGAACGAUAGCUGAUAGUACCAGCUGAGGUUGAAGGAAACCAUCACUGAUUUAUUUUGCAAUCUGUCAGGGGAAACGCAAGUGCGGCUGACCAAGAAACAACCAGAGGAGAUCAUGUGUGCAUGGGUGGCAUCUUCUAGGCUUAAAACCGGACAAGCACUGCCUGACUCACUCAUGACCCCAGCGGCUGGUGUAAAACCAUUAAUGUCCUAUGCUCCCAAGAUAACGACGGGGAUAAGGAUAUACAUGUAGCAGAUUAAUACUUCUGCAAGUCUUCUUUGCAGUUAUAUGCACUCUGCACCAGUGUCACAGAUGUCUUUAGUUUGAAUUACACUUUAGCCUCAGAUUUUCUUUCAUUAUUGAAUUUUAACACAAUAUUUGUUUCAUUUUCAUUUAGUUUCUGUCACUUAUAUCUUGAGGAAUUUCUGAUUCAUAUUGGCAAGACUGAACUUCAUAAUGUGGUCAUUAGUUUCAUAAAAACGUGAUUUGUAAAAAUGGUUUUCAGAUAAGACAUUGACUGAGCUUUUGUUUGGGCAAAAAAGGCAAUAAAGACAAGGUAGUCAUA
RNAcentral lists this long non-coding RNA (1621 nucleotides) under Orbicella faveolata. Its description in RNAcentral is "uncharacterized LOC110049608". The record is from RNAcentral. Lineage: Eukaryota; Metazoa; Cnidaria; Anthozoa; Scleractinia; Merulinidae.